Molecule: long non-coding RNA, 673 nt
Organism: Brachypodium distachyon (stiff brome)
Lineage: Eukaryota; Viridiplantae; Streptophyta; Magnoliopsida; Poales; Poaceae
Exons: 2
Source: RefSeq, a predicted model, not a curated record
GUUCUGGCCCAAGUCGGAUUUUACCAACCUCUUCGUUAUCAUCUGCCAUUUGCAGCGCACCUCGCCUCUUUCGCCAGCACCGCCGCCCUCGCCGUCCUUCCUUCCCGCCCCGCCGCCGCGCGCCGUUCGAGCACCGCCAGAGAUCCGCGUUUCGCCUCCCACUAAGGCCCCGCACGCGCCCAUUCCACGACCCUCGUCGUGGCUCCCGGUCGAUAGUCCCGCGCGCACGGCUAAGGAAUCGAUUUAUUCAAACCUUGCUUUUCCUGGUGAGUGGUGAAAUGCAAUCUCUCAAUGAGUUGUUUAGUACAGAAAAAAAUCCGAAUUAUGCUGGCUACAAAUAACCAAAGAAUAAGGGCGAAGCCGCAGUCCACCGACAGUUUCCUGGGAAAAGAACCCUAGAAGCACAACUCAUUUCUGGUAGCCGUUGACGAGGACGGUGCAGCUCUUCCUGGUGUCCCAUUAGGAGCCAAAACCCAGCUCGGAUGCUGCUCUAUUCCUAAGGGUCUGCUGUAAAAUUUAGCGCCUUGUUGCUUCCGAACACAUUAAUGUGCUUGAAUUUUUCUGUUGUUUUUGUAAGAGCAGCUUUUUUUUCCGAGAAACGCAGAAGCGCUUUGCAUCUCGAUGCAGUGAUAGACAAGAGAAAAGUUAUGAUAUAGACACCGCCUUGAAGCCA